AGACCGUGAUGUAGGCAUAUCCUUAAUAGCUCAUUGAACCUUUCCCAUUUCUCGUACAAGGAUUCCCCGUCUUCUUAAUAGUAGGUGUUAAUCUCAGUCAUGAGUUU
RNAcentral lists this small nucleolar RNA (107 nucleotides) under Helianthus annuus (common sunflower). RNAcentral's name for it is "Plant small nucleolar RNA R71". It matches the Rfam family "Plant small nucleolar RNA R71". From Rfam's summary of the family: R71 is a member of the C/D box family of snoRNAs containing the C (UGAUGA) and D (CUGA) box motifs. Multiple nearly identical copies of this snoRNA have been identified in Arabidopsis, and it is thought to function as a 2'-O-ribose methylation guide for 18S ribosomal RNA. Lineage: Eukaryota; Viridiplantae; Streptophyta; Magnoliopsida; Asterales; Asteraceae. The record is from RNAcentral.